GUCUAUGGCCAUGCCACCCUGAACAAGCCUGAUGUCUGAUCUUGGAAGCUAAGCAGGUUUGGGCCUGGUUAGUACUUGGAUGGGAGACCACCUAGGAAGACCAGGUGCUAUAGGCA
RNAcentral lists this ribosomal RNA (116 nucleotides) under Pteropus alecto (black flying fox). Lineage: Eukaryota; Metazoa; Chordata; Mammalia; Chiroptera; Pteropodidae. The record is from RNAcentral.